AGCUGAUCCAGCAUGCCGCGUGUGUGAAGAAGGCCUUCGGGUUGUAAAGCACUUUUGUCCGGAAAGAAAUCCUUGGCUCUAAUACAGUCGGGGGAUGACGGUACCGGAAGAAUAAGCACCGGCUAACUACGUGCCAGCAGCCGCGGUAAUACGUAGGGUGCGAGCGUUAAUCGGAAUUACUGGGCGUAAAGCGUGCGCAGGCGGUUUGCUAAGACCGAUGUGAAAUCCCCGGGCUCAACCUGGGAACUGCAUUGGUGACUGGCAGGCUAGAGUAUGGCAGAGGGGGGUAGAAUUCCACGUGUAGCAGUGAAAUGCGUAGAGAUGUGGAGGAAUACCGAUGGCGAAGGCAGCCCCCUGGGCCAAUACUGACGCUCAUGCACGAAAGCGUGGGGAGCAAACAGGAUUAGAUACCCCAGUAGUCA
RNAcentral lists this ribosomal RNA (422 nucleotides) under Burkholderia sp. TK2-F1-8. RNAcentral's name for it is "bacterial SSU rRNA". It matches the Rfam family "Bacterial small subunit ribosomal RNA", at positions 381 to 796 of the family's 1533-position model. The record is from RNAcentral. Lineage: Bacteria; Pseudomonadati; Pseudomonadota; Betaproteobacteria; Burkholderiales; Burkholderiaceae.